GUGGGGUGGGGGUGGGGGGAGACCGCAGCAUGGCUUCUCCCACCCCCAGGAACGGGGGGAGCUCCGGGCUCCCCAGAUGAAAGGCUCAGUACCCCAGCGCUCGGUAGACUGUGGUGAGGGGCGGGGGUGCGGGGGGGAGAAGGUAGUGCCAGGACUUGGCACAGACUACAAAGUGUGGGGGCACCCCCCAGCACUCCCGCUGCCGGCUGGCAGGGGGAGGGGCUGUGACGUUCGGUGGCCUCAUGCAGCCUCAUGCAGCCGGGAGGAAGUAGCUAAUUGCUGACCUGAUGACUGGGCGGCCUGAGGAGUGGGGUGAUGAUGCCACUCACAGCAGCAGGCUCCCGGGAUCAAGGAGGGGGCCCUGCUGGGACGGAGCAGGCCAGGCUGUGCUCUGCAGAGGCUGAGGUGGCUGCGGCCAAAGGAGCAGGGGGUGGGGGUGUGAAGGAGGAGCGCCCCCUGGAGGCGGGAAGAGGCUCUGGCCACGCCCCUCGCUGCCCCGCCCCAGGCCCCGCCCACUGUGUCCUCGGAAGUGGGGAAGCUCCGCCAGCAGCCCCGGGACAGGUGGCUCCUCGCCCGGGGAAAGUGCCGGCGCCUCCCCGGGCAAGAGUCCCUUCUCCGCAGCCUCUGCCGUCCCCUGCGUCCCCACCCGGGCUUCCGCGAGUCUGACUCAGAGCCGAGCCCGCAUCGCUUCACCUCCGCCAACACACCCGCAGCGCGCGGAAAAAUUACAGUAUUUCAGGGGCACUGCUAACGCGCUCUGAUUACCCACCGCCGCCCUCUUCCGCGGCUCUCAGUGGCAUUGGGCCAACGCGCCAUCAUUAGGCCGUCCCUCCCCGGUCCUGGAACACCGCCGUCACCUGUCCCCUGUCCCUCGCCCCCUGUCCCCAGGAGUGCUCGCCUCGGACCCUCCCAUAGCCUCCUGCCGCCCUGCGGGACUGCACCCUUGGUCCCAGGAGAGAGCUAGGAGACCCCACCUGGGAUGGGGAAUGGGGAGGUGCAGGACUUGGAAACCUGACCCCAGGCCUGAAGGGGCCCCUCCCCGUCUGUAAGGCUACAGUGUUUGAGAUCUCUGCUGGAAGGGACUGGGAGAGUGGGGAAUGGGGCAGGACUUUCUCCACUGAGGUCCAUUGGAAAGUUAACUGUUCGGGGCAGGGGUGGGUAGGGCGCCUGGGCAAUAGUAUCCCAUUUUGCACAUGAGGCUCAGAGAAGUAAGGCUCUUAGGGAAGGCCACCCAGCCAGAACUUCCAGAUCAGCUCAUUUAAAGAGUCGGACAGGCUCCUUCUCCUAACAGGGGAAUUGCAUUUCUGCGAAGAAAGGUGAUAUCCCCAUUACAGACUGGGAGUAUUGGCAGCCGACCAGCUGUGGCCUGUUGGUUCCAAGUGAACUGGUGAAGAGUGGCUCAAGUCUCUCAUCCCAGGAAGGGUGGGCGGAGGCCCUGAACACACAGAACCCAAGCCUGGUGGCCAGGACUUGAGGGGAGCAACUUGUCUGUCAGCCUCUUCAUCCAAACCAGGCUCAAACCUCUCUUCUAUCAGGAAUUCUUUCCUGAUGCCCAGGGGUUGCCAACUCAUGGCCUUGGGCCAAGUUAAACCUUUAGUGAGAUUUUGUUUGGCCUUCAGUGUGUAUGUGGUUUUUAUAUUGAAUGUAAGAUCCUAUGACAUGCAGGCUGCCCUCCUCAUUGGCAAAGACACGUGUGGCCAGACUAAGUCCCCAAAGGCAUUUGAGAUCUUGGCUUAGAUCAGCCCACCCGGCCUGAGCCUUCACAUCUUCCCUCAUCUUCUAGGAUCUCAGUCGGCGCUGCUGCCCCUUCGUGGUUCUUGCAUGUUUCUCCUUAAGUAUGCAGAGUUGAGUGUCCCUCCAGGCCCCUCUUUAGGCUCCCCACAGGUGGUGGCUGCCUAUAUUUCUGAGAACCCCUCUGGCAGCCCCGUUUUUCAUCUUGUAUGUCAAUCUCUGCCCUGGGUAGGCACCACAUCUUUUCCAGCAGGGGUGACAUGGUAUUUUUCUGCCAUCAGACUACAGGCUCCUUGAGGGCAGGAUAUUGACUCAGACUGGGAUUUCACUGAGGGCUAAAUGAAUGGGUGCGGGAGUAGCACCCUCUAUCAUAGGGAGCUCCCUGAGGGCAGGGCCAUGGCUCCCCUCAGUCUAGAGCUCUUUGAAGACAUUGGAUUCUCCCCUCAGAUGAGGCUUUUGCACCCCACCCAACCCCUCUGGCUCUCAGCUGCUCCCAGGCAUUCCUUCCAGGACACCGUUUGUCAUGCUUUGAUGAAUGAAACCUACUAAGAAUAACUCAGUCCUUGUAGUCUCUAAAGGACAGGGGUGUUGGGGGCGGCGGGGGAGCCGAGACUGGUGAUUGUGAGGGGCUAGAGGAGGAGGAUGAACACAACUCUUCAUUCCAUAGCGUUUUCCCAGGUGCCCAUCGUCCACUAGGAAGAGACUCGGGGCGGGGGGUGCCGCAAGCCCCCCUACGGUGCCAUUCCUGCCGUUGCCAGUAGGGGGAGGUUCCACAGGACUCCUGAGAUGGAAAUGCCAGCCCCCUUCUUCACAGCCUUCCCAGCCCUGAAGUCAUCACCUCAGUGCCACCCAGCCCCCUCUAUGCCUGCCACCGGCUUCCUCUGCCUGGAAGUCAGGUGCUUGGGGCGAGGGGCAGCUUCCACUGGGACAGGCACUGUGGGGGGGUGCCUUCAUCUUCCUGAGGAGGACUGUCAGAGUGAUCACGGGGGAUGGGGGGGUAGGGAAUGGAAAAGCAGUCUCAGAAUGACAGGAGGGCAUUUGGUGUUGGUUUUUUUUUUUUUUAAUAAGAAGUGAUUUAUUAGUGGUGUUUUAAUUUAGGGACGAGGCAUGACUGACCCAGAAGAUGAACCCCUGUCCCCGACCCCACUCCACUCUUCCUUCCUCAUCCCGCCCCUUUCCACUCCCAGACCUCAAGCCUCCAGUUCAGAACUGAGCGACCUUUCCAGGGCAACUGUUCUCCCAGGCACUUCACAAGGGGCCCGAGGGGUGGGGAGCCUGUGACCUUAACGCGCUUCUUUGGACGAGGCCUUCCUGGCACCCGGCCCCCACCUGCCACCUCCUGAGAGGGACAUUUCGGCCUGGUCUUGGCAAAAACACCAGCCUCUGAGCCAGGCAGCCUGGUAUGGUACCAGCCCUGCCACUGACUCCACUGUGACCUUGAGAAGUCCUUUGCUCCCUGGGCCUCAGUUUCCCCAUACCUGAAAUGAGUUUGCUCUAGGUUUCAUGGUUUGUGAACCUUUCUUUUUAAAAAAUAAUGGAUCCUAUUACUUAAAUAGUAACUUAUGUGGCGUCUCCACUGGUGACAUUGAAAAAGUUUGGAGUUCUAUGGUCAAAAUAGGGGUGGGGGUCCAGAGCCC
Capra hircus (goat) is the source of this 3368-nucleotide long non-coding RNA. RefSeq annotates it as chromosome 23 C6orf223 homolog. The record is from RefSeq and is a predicted model, not a curated record. Lineage: Eukaryota; Metazoa; Chordata; Mammalia; Artiodactyla; Bovidae. The transcript is spliced from 3 exons.